RNAcentral lists this long non-coding RNA (6851 nucleotides) under Homo sapiens (human). Its description in RNAcentral is "HSALNT0122259". The record is from RNAcentral. Lineage: Eukaryota; Metazoa; Chordata; Mammalia; Primates; Hominidae.
AGCAGCAGCAACCUGCUCAGGUCCCCUUCCAUGGUGUGGAAGCUUUGUUCUUUCGCUGUUCACAAUGAAUCUUGCUGCUGCUCACUCUUUGGGUCCGCACUAGCUUUAUGAGCUGUAACGCUCACUGCGAAGGUCUGUGGCUUCACUCCUGAAGUCAGCAAGACCACGAACCCACCGGAAGGAGGAAACAACUCCGGAAGCACCACGUUUAAGAGCUGUAACACUCACUGCGAAAGUCUGCAGCUUCACUCCUGAAGUCAGCAAGACCACAAACCCACCGGAAGGAAGAAAUUCCAGACACAUCUAAACAUUGGAAGGAACAAACUCCAGACACACUAUCUUUAAGAACUGUAACACUCACCGCGAGGGUCUGUGGCUUCAUGCUUGAAGUCAGCCGGACCAAGAACCCACCGGAAAGAACCAAUUCCUGACACAAUCAGACAGAGAAUGCUGAUUCACUAUGCAGUGAAACAUGCCUAACGUGUCAACAGCUAAAUGCCCGGUGACAGUGUGGUUGUCUGGGCAACAGAAGAAGUCACCCACGCAAACACUUAAAGGACCAUACUUAUUUUACAAGAGGAACAGUUUUCAAUGGAAUGGAUAUUAAAACACACACCUGGAUCCCUUUACCACAGGUGCUUUGAGAGGCACCAUCAAGGACAGUGAGCUAACGCAGGAGAAUGGAGUCCCAGAAACCUAGGAGGAGAAGACAAAGUGUCAGCCUCUCGGCAUCUGCAGUGUUGCUAGGAAAAGAGCUCUGAUCCCAGGGGCUUACCCACUUCCACAGGUAGGAAGCGUCCCUGAGAGGACUGGAACAUUAGCAUAUCUCAGAUCCAUCUGCAAAACUUUUGCAAACACGGAACUCCCUCGUUCUAAUCUUAUCAGCAACUUCCAGAGCUGAACCUUGAUUAAUCUGGAUACAAAAAGGAUUGAAACGCCACAUAAUAAGCAUUAACAGGAGGGUGUUUCCUUUAUCAAUGAAGCUUGAUUUAUCCAUGAUGAUCUAGUGCAUUCUCCUCCCAAAAAUCAGGAUCAUCCUCUGCAUAUGAAGGAACAGACAAGCCCUCAGCUCUACCACUUUGGAGAGGGGGGGAUUGGACAGCAUGAGCCUUCAAUUGUAUCUCUUGGAUGACCAAGGAAGGCUGGAUUUCUGCACCUAAAAAAUGGAAGCACAAACUGUACAACAAAUACUCUCCAUUCAAGUUGAAGUUCUCAAAUAAGUUUUGAAAGGUUCACUCCAGCUACUCUGUUGACAAUGGAUUAUAGAAGACUGAACAUGGAAUCCAGGAGACCAGUCAGAAAACUUCUUCAGGAAUCCAGCACAGUCUUGGCCUGUUCUGGAGAAUGCUCCCCAUCAAAAAUAAUUGACUGGAGACAAGCCAAGUCAGGAUUCUCCCUGGGAUCAAUUUCUGAUGGCGCUUUCUUCAUAAACAGGGGGACCUUUUCAAAUUCCUCUUCCCACUGGUCCUCAUGAAAGCCGCCACGGUAAGGCUGGCUCUGGAACUUUUCCAGGAACAAGUCCGUGGCAUCGUCUGAGGUGGGGUCCUGCUCAGGUUACUCCAUAACUGAUGCCCUGCCCUCCAGCCCAGGUCCCGGCACCGUGAAGUGUAGAAAAUACUCUACAAUGAAUAAAAAUAAAAUACAAUAUUCAAGAUUUAUGAAUGCAAUAAAAGCAGUGGUCAGAAGGAACAUUUAAGCUCUAAACACAUUAAAAAAGAAGAAUGAUAUUAAUAGAAAAUCUAAUUGUGUAUCUUACAUAACUAGAAAAUGAAAAGCAGUCUAAAGCCAAAGCAUGAAGGAGGUAGGAAAUAAUGAUUAGAGGAAACAUAAAUGACAUAGAGAAUAGAAAAACAAGAGAGAGUAUCAAUGAACCUAAAAUUUGGUUCUUUAAAAAGAUUACCAGAUUUGACAAACCUUUAGCUAUACUAAUAAUAGAAGACUAAAAUAAAUAAAAUUAAAAAUGAAAUCAUAGACAUUAUAACUGAUACCAUAGAAAUACAAAGGAUCAAAAGAAACUACUAAUGAACAAUUAUAUGCCAACAAAUUGGAUUACCUACAGGAAAUUGAUGAAUUCCUACAACAUACAACCUACCAACGCUGAAUCAUGAAGAAAUAGAAAAUCUAAACAGACCAAUAGUGAGUAAAGAGAUUGAGUCUGUAAUCAAAAAUCUUACAAAAAAGAAAAGCUCAGUAUCAGACAGCUUCACUGAUGAGUUCUAUCAGUCCUUUAAUGAAAAUUUAUACCAAUCAUUGCCAAACUCUUUCAUAAAAUUGAAGAGAUGAGAAUAGUUCAUAAUUCAUUGUAUGAGGCUGGCAUUACGUAGAUACAAAGCCAGACAAAGACAUUACAAGAUUGUCUCUUUUAAGUAUAGAUGCAAAGCCUCUUGAUAAAAUCCUAUCAAACUGAAUACAGCAGCAUAUUAAAGGGAUCAUACUCCAUGACAAAUGGGAUUUAUCUCAGUAAUGCAAGAAUGGUUCAACGUAUGAAAAUCACUCAAUGUAAGAAACCACAUGAAUAGAAUGAAGGGAGAAAAAAGACCCCAAAAUAUACGAACAUUUCAGUUGAUGCAGAGGAAUCAUUUGAUAAAGUUCAACAUUCUUUUAAAACACUCAGUAAAUGAAGAAUAAAAGAUAUCUUCCAUAACACGAUAAAGGUGAUAUAUGAAAAACCCACAGCUAACAUCACACCCAAUAUUGAAAGACUCAAAGCUUUCCCUUAACAAUGGGAACGAGAGCAGGAUUCCUACUGUCGCUAUUUUUACUCAAUAUAGUAGUAGAAAUUCUAGCCAGAGCAAUUAGAGAAGUCAAAUAAAUGAAAAUCUUACAAAUUGAAAAGAGAGAAGUUCUCCAUUCACAGAUGACCUGGUCUUAUGUGUAGAAAGCUCUAAGGAUUUAAUAACAAAACUAUUAGAGCUAAUAAAUGAAUUAAGCAAAGUUGUAGGACAAAAAAACAAUAAACAAAAUCAGUUGUGUUUCUAUACACUAGAAAUAAGCAAUAGGACAAGUUUUUUAAAACUUUCUUUUUAUAGUAGCAUCUGAAAGAACAGAUAUGUAGGAAUUUAAUCGGAAAUUAAAGACGUACUGAAAACUACAAAACAUUGCUGAAAUAAAGAAGUCAUAAAUCAAUGGAAUGUGUUCAUGGUGUAAGAUUUAAUAUUGUUAAGGUGAUAAUGCUACUCGAUUUGCUUUGCUAAUCAAAGCAAUCUACAGAUUGAAUCCAACAAUUUUUUUUUUCUUGUGGAAAUAGAAAACCCAUUCUAAAGUUCAUAUGAAAUCUUAAGGGACCUUGCAUAGCCAAAACAAUCUUGAAAAGAAUAAAUGUGGACAACUCACAUUUCCUGAUUUCAAAACUUAUCACAAAGAUACAGUAAUCAAAACAGUGAGGUACUUGUAUAAAGACAGACAUACAGACCAAUAGAUUUGAAUAGAUAUUCCAGAAGUAAACUCUCACAUACACAGACAAUUGAUUUUUGACAAGGGCACAAAAGCCAUUCAAUGGGGAAAAGGACAAUCUUUUCAACAAAUGGUGCUGGGAAAACUGUGUAUCCACAUGUAAAAAAAUGAAGUCAAACCUUUUCCUCAAAUUAUAUACAGAAAUUCACCAAAAAUGAAUAAAAUACUUAAAUAUAAGAACUAAAACUAUAAAACUCUUAGAGGAAAACAUACAACUAAAUCUUCAUGAUAUUAAUUUCUUAGAUAUGACACCAAAAGGAUGAGGAAUAACAAAAAUAGAUAAACUGAAGGGUAGAAAGCAAAGUGAUAAUGGAAGAUGAGAGUCGAGUGAUGUGACCAGGAGCCAAGGAAUGCCAUGGCCUCUAGAUGUGGGGAGUUAAGGGACCAAUUUUCCCUGGAAACUCCUGAAGGAACUUGCCAUGCCAACACCUUGAUUAUAGCCCUUUAAGAUACAUUUUGGACUGUUGAUCUCCAGGAUUGUAAGAUAAUACAUUCGUGUUGAUUUAAGCCACUGAAUAUGUGGUGAUUUGUUACAGCAGCAAUAGUAAACUGAUACACAAUCUCAAUGAAAGUAGGGAUUUCUGUCUUCCCACACCCUGCUCACUUCACUAGAGAAUUUAUAGCACUUAGUGUAUUCUUCGAUAAAUAUUUGUUGAGUAAGAUGAAUGAAGCCAGACUUUAGAGUCAGAUUACACUUGGCUGGUUAACUGUUGUGAGGAAAGCAGUUGAAAGUUCUCUUGGCCUUGCUUCUACUUGCACUGGGAAGCACUGUCAUCAAUGAAGGGGUUGCUGUGGGUUUCAAGAGAAAAGAAAAGGUGUGAGAAUCUCCCAGGUACAGUGGGAGCUCAUCUGGACUAGGGAAAUAAAAUAGGAUUGCUUGGUUAUUGCUCACUUGGUCACUAAUAUAACAUGAAUUGAGACAGUAUGGUUGUAUAUUUUUCUCCAAUUAAGGUUAUGGGGUGGCAUGGCCUAGGGGAAGUUACUUAUUUUGCAAGGGUGAUUUGAUAGAGGCAGCAAGCCAGGUAGCUGGGAUGUUUGCAAGGGCAUGAUCAUAAUGGUGUACCAUGCAAUUUAAGCAGGGGCAGGUGGAAAUAAGGACUUGAUGUGAUAUGUUCAGAUCCAUGAAUAAGACAUCAUAACAGGAGUCACAGUAUUGUCAGACUAGAAGUACUGGAGGAAGGGAGCUGGACAUUUGAAAGAGAUGGGAGGGUGGAAUGUUUGAGAUUGAGUGAAUGGAGGUGCUGUGUUCAUUUGGUCAUGCUAAGGUCUUGGGGUGGCCAUGGGAGGGGUGGGUGGCUGAGGUGGGGCAGAGGACAGACUCAUCUGGAGAUGAUGCAAUAAAUGAAGGGGAAAGCUAGGCCCUGCAAGGAGCUCUCUUGUGUGUAUUAAAAUCAUCAAAAACUGUGGCAGGAGUGAUUGCAGAGAUCCUAGUGACCCAUGAUCAAGGAAUGAAGAGGAAGACCAGCGGUCUAGAGAUUACUGCACAUGUGGGGUGGGAAGAGGGCGGUAACAGAUGACAAUCAUUAAUUUGAUAAAAAAGUAUUGAAUGUCUGCUCUGUGCCAGGCACAUGGUGGUAGGGUCUGAUGGGAGGUUAAAGGGAAGAGAGGUGGAUAAUGUUCUGGAGAUUUCAAUGAGCAAGAAGGGUAUUUAGCCCACAUUGAGGCCCAACAGAUUGAAGCCUUAAAAGAAAACAGCAACACCUGAGAAGGAUGCCAGGAAAUGAGUCCUAGGGGUACAUGUGGAGUCAGCUGGAGCACAUCCAGGAAGAAGGACAGAAGAAAGACUGUGAAGGACUUGAGUCAGGGAGGGGUGUGAGCUGACUCAGAAAGGGUGAUGCAUGGGUAGGCCAUGGGGUGAGGGAUGAACGGGAGUCUUGGAUUUCCUGUGGUCACUCAGGGAAACCCAGCAGCUAAAAGUAAGUGAUUUAAGCAAAUGAAUGGACAGAUGAAUUAAUGAAUAGACUAAAGAUGGACAAAUGCUUCCACCAGCCUUGCUUCAGGCCCUAUUUAGAACUGAAGUUGACUUCCUCUUUCUUUUAAUAGCUGCAAAAAUGAUGAAUUUGAUUUUCGUCUCUAGAAGCAAUUUCCUUUUUAAAUCAGGUGAGGAUCUUGGCAGAUGCGAAGAAUCUUUCAGAACCUGCAUGUAUAUGAGAAAGGGAUAUGACAGCAUGAAGUUCUCCUGUUUGAAGAAGCUAAAUGGAGCCACUUUUUGACUCAGUUGACUGGGACCUGGAGCUGGUGCACUAUUUGAAUUGCAUGGUGUGCCUGCCGCUGCCUUUUGACUUCUCCAGCCUGUACACCUGCCUUUUUGGGGAGAACUGUGGUAACAUAUGGGGAGGCGUCCUGUAUUUUCUGCAAUAUCUGACAAAGAAAAACUAGUUGGUUCAUAUGUAUAUAUGAUCUUUCAACAAGAACGUCAAAUAAAUAUCUUCACUCCUUGGGGAGAAGCAGGUCAGAGCCCCACUGUCUCAGCUAGCUCUCACUUGGCUGUCUUGUUUUGGGGCUGGAAGGCCACACUGUGUUUCCUGGGGUAGAGGCGGAGUCUGGGCAUUCUCCCUUUGUAGCUGAGAGCUAAGAGCAGUUGUGUCUGCUUUGAUAAAAUAAAGUUAUUUUUUAGUUUAGUCUGAUCUCCAAAUCCUUCCCUUUCAGAUACCUCUGCCAUCCAAGAUCAGGGGAUACUAAAUUUUCAAAGCAUUUUCUCAGGAGUUGCAUGAGAAAACAUACACCUGCUCUUGUUUUCAAGGGGUGUGGGCAAGAAGUAAAAAGGACAAACUGUUAAUGAGAACACUUUCUGUAUUCCUCCCUCCCCACUGAUACAUACCAGUACCAUAAAAUUUAAAAUGAGUCAAAUGACUGCAGUAAGACUUUACUUUGGUAUACGAGGCAAAAUGUUGGACAUGGGUGCUAAUUAAUCAUCAGAGAGUUACAGGGGAACCUGGACGAAUUAAGACUGGGGCAAGAGACAGCUCAUCAAGGAUCUUGCCCUGUAGCUCAAGAAGAAAAUGUUUAACUUAGUUGCCUGGACACUCUGAGGAUAGAAUGAAAUGCUGUAUGCGACCUGUUGGCCUUGGAAGCCGGCAUGGAUUCAGCACCCAGGGUUGGGGUGAACCUUCUCUCCCUCACUGUGUCAGGCAUCUUAGUCUGCCCCAGGAUGUGCAGGCUGCCUGUCCCUGGCCUCACAUCCUGCUGUAAGUGGGAUUGUGACCCCCUGAAAUGCAUAUGUUGAAGCCCUAACUGCCUCUGUGAUGGUAUUUGGAGGUGAAGCCUUUGGGAGAUAAUUAGGGUUAGAUGAAGUCCUAAGGACCUCCAUGAUGGGAUUAGUGUCCUUACAAGAAGAGGAAGAGACACCAGAGCUUCCCCUCUCUCACCUGUGAGGACAGAGGUAGCAGGUGGCUGUG